GCCAUGGAAACCCCGCCUCUCCGAGAGUCGGAUCAGACAGCAGCAUCCUCUAGCCGGUGGCCACCAGAUGAAGGGCACUGCCAAUUUGAGGAAAUUGAACACGUGCAUCCAUUCUUUCAACACCAACAUGGAACAGUCUCCUACUUAAAAACAAAUGCUGACCAUCUAAGUUAGGAUGCUGACCCAGCAUUUGACUCCAAGUACUUCACACCGACUGGAUUUCAAGGAAAUUGCUCAACUUCUACAGAAAUAGACUUGCUGGAAUCAACAAUGUUACGCACAUCUGCCUACCCCUCCUGCAGGACUAGCAGUACUGUUCCUUUGCCUUGACCCGUUUUCCUGGUGUUUCUGUCAUUGUGAAGAUCAGCUGAUUGCAGGUCUGCAUCUAUGUCUGCACACCCCUGGUGCCUGGUGCCCACAGAGCCAGAAGAGAGCAUCGGAUCCCCUGGAACUAGAGCUUCCCAAUUUAAUCUGCCACCAUCUCAAGGAGCUGGCCUGCACGAUCCGGCACCGACGCCCGCAGAUCUUCCACACUUUGCAGGGCAGUACCCACCGAGGCACCGUGGCUUCCCCCCAUCGCCAUGCCUUAAGCAAACACCAAAUGACUUUAGAAAAAAGACCCACAGACCUAGAAUGGCAUCUGGCUACAAUUCCUCAAGACUUCUCUCACCUGUCCCAGACUCAGUCUCAAGUGACAGAGAUAAUCUGACCCCUUUUGAAGUGAACGGAUGGCACUGGCUGAGGGCAGAGAGAAAAGCCCCCGCUCUGAACGCCUCCGCACAUGCCUGAAGUACAACAGCUCUGUACACCCAUUUCAUCACAGAAGACUUUUUAUUUCGAAAUCAGCGACUUAAAAAAAAAAAAAAAAAAACAAAAAAAAAACGUUCUGUCUUAAAUCAGAGCUAUGUAUGCACAUUUGACAAUGAGCUGUUAUUCUUAAAGGCAGGAGGCUAAGCAGCCUGCUCAAGUUUCACAUGAAGCAAGAAAAAAAUGUUUCUUCCGUUAGUCUCAGUUUCAGAGUUCAAGAGCUGCGGCGAGCUCUGCUUACCUUACAGCCUCAGCUCCACAGAGGUCUCCCAAGUUUAAAAACGGGAUGCCGAGGUGCGGGAUCGCUUUUCUUGCACACAAGUUUCAUCCGUCAAAGCACUCAGCUCCUCAGGAGGACCCGGCCCUCUCUUGUCAAUCGCCAAUGAGGAAGCCACACAGCACAUGGGGGUAGUGGCUUCCCUGGGAGCCACUUAAAGUCUGCACACAGCCUCUGGGACAGAGGUGCCAAGUGUACCCUGUCACACAAAGCAUCCCAUUGUGAGGCCCUGAGCAUCUCUUGAAGGGGGGGAAAAGGGUUCUAAGAAAUUCCUGCCAGUCUGAAGUCUUAUUGCCUUUGUUAGCCGUGACUUUUAUUCAUUGAAAAUAAAGAGGAAAUGAUAUUCUGCUAUACUUAGAUCGGUGCCUCGCCCAAUGGUCAUCAGAGAGGCUUCAUCCAGCCACUGAUAGAAGCAGAUGCAGAGACCCCCAGCCAAACAGUAGGUGGACCUCAGGCAAUCCUGUGGAAAGAGGGGAGGAAGCAUUGUGGGAGCCAGAGGGGCCAAGGACACCACAAGAAACCCACAGAAUCAACUGACCCGGGCUCACAGGGUUUCAGAGACUGA
Peromyscus maniculatus bairdii (prairie deer mouse) is the source of this 1649-nucleotide non-coding RNA. NCBI's taxonomy places the organism in Eukaryota, Metazoa, Chordata, Mammalia, Rodentia, Cricetidae. The record is from RefSeq and is a predicted model, not a curated record.